AUUGAACGCUGGCGGCAGGCCUAACACAUGCAAGUCGAGCGGAUGAAGGGAUCUUGCUCCUGGAUUCAGCGGCGGACGGGUGAGUAAUGCCUAGGAAUCUGCCUGGUAGUGGGGGAUAACGUCCGGAAACGGGCGCUAAUACCGCAUACGUCCUGAGGGAGAAAGUGGGGGAUCUUCGGACCUCACGCUAUCAGAUGAGCCUAGGUCGGAUUAGCUAGUUGGUGGGGUAAAGGCCUACCAAGGCGACGAUCCGUAACUGGUCUGAGAGGAUGAUCAGUCACACGGGACCGGAAACGCGGCCCGGACCACACGGGGAGGCGAGAGUGGGGAAUGUAGGAGAGGGGGGGGAGCCUUAGCCCAACCCGGCCGGGUGGGGAAAAAGGUUCUGCUGUUUUUAAAGCUUUUUAGGUUGGGAGAAAGGAUAAAAAUUUAAUCCCUUGUUUUUUUGCCGUUACCAAAAAAAUAAGCACCGGCUAACUCCGUG
Molecule: ribosomal RNA, 484 nt
Filed under: uncultured bacterium
Lineage: Bacteria
Description: partial 16S ribosomal RNA
Rfam family: Bacterial small subunit ribosomal RNA
Source: RNAcentral